This 92-nucleotide small RNA is filed under the name Microcebus murinus (gray mouse lemur). RNAcentral's name for it is "Y RNA (ENSMICG00000046925.1)". The record is from RNAcentral. Lineage: Eukaryota; Metazoa; Chordata; Mammalia; Primates; Cheirogaleidae.
GGCUGGUCCAGUGGUAGUCAUCAGAACUUAUUCACAUUAGUGUCAUUCAAGUUGGUAUUCAAUGCCCCACUAGUAAAUUUCACUGGCUUUAA